UUAAAAUAGUUUAAAAAAAAACAGUGAUUUGUGGAAUCAAAAUUUAUUUAU
This 51-nucleotide transfer RNA is filed under the name Trioza frangulae. Its description in RNAcentral is "tRNA-His". The record is from RNAcentral. Lineage: Eukaryota; Metazoa; Arthropoda; Insecta; Hemiptera; Triozidae.